GUGUCAGCCGCCGCGGUAAUACGUAGGGUGCAAGCGUUAAUCGGAAUUACUGGGCGUAAAGGGUGCGCAGGCGGUUCUGUAAGUCAGAUGCGAAAUCCCCGGGCUUAACCUGGGAACUGCGUUUGAAACUACAGGACUAGAGUGUAGCAGAGGGAGGCGGAAUUCCAUGUGUAGCAGUGAAAUGCGUAGAGAUAUGGAGGAACAUCGAUGGCGAAGGCAGCCUCCUGGGUUAACACUGACGCUCAUGCACGAAAGCGUGGGGAGCAAACAGGAUUAGAUACCCCUGUAGUCC
This 292-nucleotide ribosomal RNA is filed under the name uncultured bacterium. RNAcentral describes it as "partial 16S ribosomal RNA". It matches the Rfam family "Bacterial small subunit ribosomal RNA", at positions 505 to 796 of the family's 1533-position model. The record is from RNAcentral.